This 75-nucleotide transfer RNA is filed under the name Parcubacteria group bacterium CG1_02_37_13. RNAcentral's name for it is "tRNA-Arg". It matches the Rfam family "tRNA". Rfam says of the family: Transfer RNA (tRNA) molecules are approximately 80 nucleotides in length. Their secondary structure includes four short double-helical elements and three loops (D, anti-codon, and T loops). Further hydrogen bonds mediate the characteristic L-shaped molecular structure. tRNAs have two regions of fundamental functional importance: the anti-codon, which is responsible for specific mRNA codon recognition, and the 3' end, to which the tRNAs corresponding amino acid is attached (by aminoacyl-tRNA synthetases). tRNAs cope with the degeneracy of the genetic code in two manners: having more than one tRNA (with a specific anti-codon) for a particular amino acid; and 'wobble' base-pairing, i.e. permitting non-standard base-pairing at the 3rd anti-codon position. The record is from RNAcentral. RNAcentral also lists the same sequence under 2 other names.
GCUUCCAUAGCUCAACGGACAGAGUAAUGGCUUCCGGAGCCAUCGAUACAGGUUCGAACCCUGUUGGAAGCACAA